AGCGAACGCUGGCGGCAGGCUUAACACAUGCAAGUCGAACGGGCACUUCGGUGUCAGUGGCAGACGGGUGAGUAACGCGUGGGAACAUACCUCUUGGUUCGGAACAACACAGGGAAACUUGUGCUAAUACCGGAUAAGCCCUUACGGGGAAAGAUUUAUCGCCGAGAGAUUGGCCCGCGUCUGAUUAGCUAGUUGGUGUGGUAAAAGCGCACCAAGGCGACGAUCAGUAGCNGGUCUGAGAGGAUGAUCAGCCACAUUGGGACUGAGACACGGCCCAAACUCCUACGGGAGGCAGCAGUGGGGAAUAUUGGACAAUGGGCGCAAGCCUGAUCCAGCCAUGCCGCGUGAGUGAUGAAGGCCCUAGGGUUGUAAAGCUCUUUUAGUCAGGGAAGAAACGGUGGGAGCUAAUAUCUCUCACUAAUGACGGUACCUGAAGAAUAAGCACCGGCUAACUACGUGCCAGCAGCCGCAGUAAC
This 476-nucleotide ribosomal RNA is filed under the name uncultured bacterium. Its description in RNAcentral is "bacterial SSU rRNA". It matches the Rfam family "Bacterial small subunit ribosomal RNA", at positions 29 to 524 of the family's 1533-position model. The record is from RNAcentral.